AAGGCUCACGCCACGCCAGGCGGCUGAUUAGUGCCGCUGGCCUCUCCAGAUGGGGAGCACGGCCUGAGAGGGGCGCCUGCCACCACGCCAGGAGACGGCCUCGCCGGAGCCGGUGACAGCCCCAGGCCAGGUCCUUCCCUCCCGGAGCCUCUGCUUGGUCGGCUCUCCGCUGUGGAUGCUACCUGGGGCUCCCUCCUGGAACAGUGGGUAGGACUUGCAUGUGAUCCGAGUGGCCCCAUUCCUGGGACACACGAGGCCAUUGGGUGAAAAUACCAGCUCUUCCAAGAAUUUCUUCCAAACUGCCUCCCCAGUCUGCCCAGAAGACCUUCCCUAUGCUGCAGCAACUGUAAAACCCGGGGAAUAAAAGACCUGGGAAGAGACAAGUGGCCUCAUCUGGAGGCAGGUGAAGCCCAGCCCUGCUCUUUCACACUGUUUUCAUACCCCAGCCCCUUAGGUGAAGUUGCUUGAGGACAUAAGAGGCAGAGAUACAAGUGAUUUUAUUGCAUCAAAGAGGAGUGUUUUACCCAACACAGCAGGAAGGCAUUUUCAAGCGUCAUCAGAAUUACCUUCAUUCAGCCUUUGAAUAGCUAGAUUCUCAACUUUUUCUGAGCUCAAAGGGACUCUUCUUCAACGAGUAGAGGAGCGCAGAGCAGAGAGUGGGUGGUUGUUCAGCUUGCUGUUGGGGUGGGGAUAGAGGUCAUUAACUACUUUGGGAUGAUUUGCGCUCAUCGACUUCCAAAUGCUGAGUAGAAGUGAAGAAGACAUGACUCACAUUCCAAUUCAGAGAACAUUUAUCAAGGACCUACUAUGUACUUCAAAUGCUGUCUACAAAACAACAAAUCCCAAAC
Molecule: long non-coding RNA, 848 nt
Organism: Bos taurus (domestic cattle)
Lineage: Eukaryota; Metazoa; Chordata; Mammalia; Artiodactyla; Bovidae
Source: Ensembl